GUCUACGGCCAUGCCACCUUUAACAUGCCUGAUCUCGUCUGAUCUCGGAAGCUAAGCAGGGUUGGGCCUGGUUAGUACUUGGAUGGGAGACCACCUAGGAAGACCAAGUGCUAUAGGCA
This 119-nucleotide ribosomal RNA is filed under the name Pteropus alecto (black flying fox). Lineage: Eukaryota; Metazoa; Chordata; Mammalia; Chiroptera; Pteropodidae. The record is from RNAcentral.